Molecule: microRNA precursor, 271 nt
Filed under: Oryza rufipogon (brownbeard rice)
Lineage: Eukaryota; Viridiplantae; Streptophyta; Magnoliopsida; Poales; Poaceae
Description: MIR821 microRNA precursor family
Rfam family: MIR821 microRNA precursor family
Source: Rfam by way of RNAcentral
AAUUUCAACUAAAAAAGUCAUCAACAACAAAGUUGUAUAACUCAUCAAGAUCUAUAACUUUUUUUUUAUUUCUUCAUCCGACAAAGUAUUAGUAACAUUGUUCACAAAAUUGACAUAUCUAUGUCAUAGUUUAUAAAACCAGAUGAGAUAUAUGUGAAUUUUGUGAACAAUGUUACUAUCACUUUGUCGGAUGAAGAAAUGACCAAAAUGAAAGUUAUAGAUCUUGAUGAGUUAUACAACUUUGUUGUUGAUGACUUUUUCAGUUGAAAUC